AAGUAUUUUAAUGAGCUUGACUUUGAUUUGAUUCAAGGGCUUGUAAAGCUUGAUCUUGAAUCUCCUCCUAGAAUUUGAAUUUGGGUUUGAUCACGAAUUACUAAUCUUGAACACCUUGGUAUUUGAUUUUGCUUCGUUCUUGAUCUUGAACUUGAACUUGUAGCUUGAGUGCUUGAACUUGUAGCUUGUGGAUAAAUAUGCGGUGUUUGAUCCACGAGCUCUCUAC
This 226-nucleotide long non-coding RNA is filed under the name Nicotiana benthamiana. RNAcentral describes it as "long non-coding RNA (NBEN_LNC042304)". The record is from RNAcentral. Lineage: Eukaryota; Viridiplantae; Streptophyta; Magnoliopsida; Solanales; Solanaceae.